Molecule: ribosomal RNA, 253 nt
Filed under: uncultured bacterium
Lineage: Bacteria
Description: partial 16S ribosomal RNA
Rfam family: Bacterial small subunit ribosomal RNA
Source: RNAcentral
UACAGAGGUCUCAAGCGUUGUUCGGAUUCAUUGGGCGUAAAGGGUGCGUAGGUGGCAGGGUAAGUCGGAUGCGAAAUCCCGGGGCUCAACCUCGGAACUGCAUUCGAUACUGCUUUGCUUGAGUACUGGAGAGGAGAUUGGAAUUUACGGUGUAGCAGUGAAAUGCGUAGAUAUCGUAAGGAAGACCAGUGGCGAAGGCGGAUCUCUGGACAGUUACUGACACUGAGGCACGAAGGCCAGGGGAGCAAACGGG